RNAcentral lists this ribosomal RNA (460 nucleotides) under uncultured bacterium. Its description in RNAcentral is "partial 16S ribosomal RNA". It matches the Rfam family "Bacterial small subunit ribosomal RNA", at positions 338 to 795 of the family's 1533-position model. The record is from RNAcentral.
CCUACGGGGGACAGCAGUGAGGAAUAUUGGUCAAUGGGCGCACGCCUGAACCAGCCAAGCCGCGUGAGGGAUGACGGUCCUGCGUAUUGUAAACUUCUUUUGUCAGGGAACAAAGUCGGGCACUAGUCCCUGGCUGUGUGUACUUUACGAAAAAGCAUCGGCUAACUCCGUGCCAGCAGCCGCGGUAAUACGGUGGAUGCGAGCGUUUUCCGGAUUUAUUGGGUUUAAAGGGUGGGGAGUUGGGCUGGUAAGUCAGUCGUGAAAGGCCCGGGCUCAACCGCGGCGGGGCAUUUGAUACUGGCGGGCUGGAGUGGGAGAGAGGGAGGCGGAAUGCGCGGUGUAGCGGUGAAAUGCUUAGAUAUCGCGCAGAACCCCGAUGGCGAAGGCAGCGUACUGGAUCGACACUGACGCUGAGGCACGAAAGCGUGGGUAGCAAACAGGAUUAGAUACCCGUGUAGUC